CAAAACUCAUGUUGAAAUGUAAUCCCCAAGGUAGCAGUAUGGAGAGGUAGAGCCUUGAAGAGGUGAUUGGUCUGCCCUCAUGAAUGGAUUAAUCCAUUGAUGGAUCAAUGGGUUAAUGGAUUAUCAUAGGAGGGGAACGGGUGGCUUUAUAUUAGGAGGAAGAGAUACCUGGGCUAACAUGCUCCACUUCCUCAUCAUGUGAUGUCCUGUGCUACCAUGAGACUCUACAGAGUUCCCAGCAGCAAGAAGGCCCUGAGCAGAUAUGGCCCUCUGACCUUGGACUUCUCAGCCUCCGUGACUAAGCCACUGAGACAGUGGUGGGGCAGCCACCUUCUCGUUCUUCUUCUUCUUCCUGCUUUCCCUCAGAGAUGGACUCUUAAUAAGAUAUCUCAGAAGCUGGACUGGCCUAACUGGAGAUAAAACUUGAAUUAAAAGAAGAGGCAAGAACUGGUGCUUCAUUCAUCUCUCCCAUCAACUCUCUCUUUGUGGUCCUGAUUUGUCAGUGAGAAUGUACUGGAGUUUGCAAAGGAGAAAAAAAAACCACAGAGCUUUUCUCCCAAUUGUCUGCUUUCAGAAUGAAGAAGGAGAAGUCAACAUUUGGGAAGUGUUUACCAUGGACCAGGAGGUAAUAUAACACAUCAUUUAACUCUCCCAACUAGCCUGGAGCACAGAUUCCACUACCUCCCCAUAACAAUGAGAAAAGCAAGGCUCAGAGAGGCUUAGACACUCAUGCUGUAUGU
Long non-coding RNA from Homo sapiens (human), 740 nucleotides. Ensembl annotates it as long intergenic non-protein coding RNA 2291. Lineage: Eukaryota; Metazoa; Chordata; Mammalia; Primates; Hominidae. The record is from Ensembl.